Molecule: long non-coding RNA, 1144 nt
Filed under: Homo sapiens (human)
Lineage: Eukaryota; Metazoa; Chordata; Mammalia; Primates; Hominidae
Description: long non-coding RNA NONHSAT254938
Source: RNAcentral
AGGUUUUACGGAGAAUUUCGGUCCCAGCAAAAACUGAUCACCUGGAGUCUUCUACGGUCUCUCUUUAUAAAUCUCUCCGAACCUCAAGCAACUCCCCCCCACCCCCUUCGUCUGGGGUCUGCGCCCAGCGGGGCCAAAGCCUUGAGUUCCUUGGCAGAGAGUGUGGAACAGCCGUGAGCCCUUCAAGACAUGCCUAUGAGCCCGGUGAUUUUUUUUUCAAGGGGGCUUUGAUCAGCUGUACCUCCACGUUGCCCCGGAAAGGUGCGCAGGGCACCCGGAGAGGCCUCUGGUCAGCAGUGGGCCUGGGCCAAGCCCCAACAGUUUACCCCUCAGGCUCAGGUUGGCUGGGGUUAAAGGGCAAAGUCAGGGUCGAGGGCACCAGCUUUUCUCGGCGGUAACAGCUGCCACCCAAAUUAUGCCCCCUCAGGAAGCGAAUGAAUUGUUCCUUUCUCCCAGCUCCCUGCUGCCCGCCCCAAAACAGACGGGGCCGCGCUCGGCGGGCGCCCCUCCUCCCAGCCAACCCCCCGAGACGCGCUCAGGGGCCUCGGUGCCCCGCUGGGAGGCAAUUUGGGGGAGCCGUGGUCCCGAACUUUGACAGAGUGGGGCUUCCCCACUACUUGCCGGCUGCGCUAAGGGCGCCCCCCGCGGCAGUGCUGCUGGGAGCUCCAGGGAUGGCUGUGUGGCUCGCUGCGGGCGUUGAAGUUCCCUGUUGGCCAGGCUGAAGUGCCUGCGCGAGCGUGAGGGGACAAGGACUGCCUUGGGCCCAGCGUGGCGGCGUUUCGGCCAACCCAGUUGGGGUUAAUUGCGUCUGUAUAGGUUUUGGGUAGGAAUGCUCGCGGAGUCCGCCACCCGCGCGAAACAUGCGUUGGUUGGGGGAAUGAGCAGCGGCGGCUGCGCCUGGAGGGUUGCUCCCACCUCUGUCGCCUCCAGCUACCCCCAAACAAACCUCCUUUUCGAUCUCGUGCAACACAAAACCUGCCCCGAGCUGUGCGGGGGCCUGGCAAGCGCAGCUGCGGCCCCGGGAAGCCCAAUCCCGCGGGACUGCGGAGCCCACGCGCUCCUCAGGCUCCGGCCAACUAGCUCGGUUCUGCCUCUAGCCCGGGUCAAGAAAAAUCCAAAAUGAACACUAUGAUUAAAAUUAUUC